RNAcentral lists this ribosomal RNA (253 nucleotides) under uncultured bacterium. Its description in RNAcentral is "partial 16S ribosomal RNA". It matches the Rfam family "Bacterial small subunit ribosomal RNA", at positions 524 to 776 of the family's 1533-position model. The record is from RNAcentral.
UACGGAGGGUGCAAGCGUUAAUCGGAAUUACUGGGCGUAAAGCGCACGUAGGUGGUUUGCUAAGUCCACUGUUAAAUCUUGGGGCUCAACCUCAAAAUCGCAGUCGAAACUAUUAGGCUAGAGUAUAGUAGGGGUAAAGGGAAUUUCCAGUGGAGCGGUGAAAUGCGUAGAGAUUGGAAAGAACACCGAUGGCGAAGGCACUUUACUGGGCUAUUACUAACACUCAGAGACGAAAGCGAGGGUAGCAAAUGGG